RNAcentral lists this ribosomal RNA (253 nucleotides) under uncultured bacterium. RNAcentral's name for it is "partial 16S ribosomal RNA". It matches the Rfam family "Bacterial small subunit ribosomal RNA", at positions 524 to 776 of the family's 1533-position model. The record is from RNAcentral.
GACGGAAGGUGCAAGCGUUGCUCGGAAUCACUGGGCGUAAAGGGUGCGUAGGCGGCCGUGCAAGUCUGGCGUGAAAGCCCCGGGCUCAGCCCGGGAAGUGCGCUCGAAACUGCGCGGCUCGAGUGCCGGAGGGGAGAGUGGAAUUCCUGGUGUAGCGGUGAAAUGCGUAGAUAUCAGGAGGAAUACCGGUGGCGAAGGCGGCCAUCUGGACGGUGACUGACGCUGAGACGCGAAAGCGUGGGGAGCAAACAGG